UACGAAGGGGGCUAGCGUUGCUCGGAAUCACUGGGCGUAAAGCGCACGUAGGCGGCUCUUUAAGUCAGAGGUGAAAUCCUGGGGCUCAACCCCAGAACUGCCUUUGAUACUGAGGAGCUUGAGUCCGGGAGAGGUGAGUGGAACUGCGAGUGUAGAGGUGAAAUUCGUAGAUAUUCGCAAGAACACCGGUGGCGAAGGCGGUUCUCUGGGCCUGUACUGACGCUGAGGAGCGAAAGCGUGGGGAGCGAACAGG
This 253-nucleotide ribosomal RNA is filed under the name uncultured bacterium. RNAcentral describes it as "partial 16S ribosomal RNA". It matches the Rfam family "Bacterial small subunit ribosomal RNA", at positions 524 to 776 of the family's 1533-position model. The record is from RNAcentral.